AUAAAAUAAUAAAAUAAAUAAAAUAAAGAGGCUAAGACAGAAGGGUAAAAUCAGUCCCCUAAAACCCAGAGAUAAGAUUGUGAAACUUCUCUUUGGAUCCUGUCUGGAGUGACAGCU
Small nucleolar RNA from Cynocephalus volans (Philippine flying lemur), 117 nucleotides. RefSeq annotates it as small nucleolar RNA SNORA26. The record is from RefSeq and is a predicted model, not a curated record. The transcript has a single exon. NCBI's taxonomy places the organism in Eukaryota, Metazoa, Chordata, Mammalia, Dermoptera, Cynocephalidae.